RNAcentral lists this ribosomal RNA (953 nucleotides) under Arthrobacter sp. RNAcentral's name for it is "bacterial SSU rRNA". It matches the Rfam family "Bacterial small subunit ribosomal RNA", at positions 555 to 1504 of the family's 1533-position model. The record is from RNAcentral. Lineage: Bacteria; Bacillati; Actinomycetota; Actinomycetes; Micrococcales; Micrococcaceae.
AGGGCGUAAGAGCUCGUAGGCGGUUUGUCGCGUCUGCUGUGAAAGACCGGGGCUCAACUCCGGUUCUGCAGUGGGUACGGGCAGACUAGAGUGCAGUAGGGGAGACUGGAAUUCCUGGUGUAGCGGUGAAAUGCGCAGAUAUCAGGAGGAACACCGAUGGCGAAGGCAGGUCUCUGGGCUGUAACUGACGCUGAGGAGCGAAAGCAUGGGGAGCGAACAGGAUUAGAUACCCUGGUAGUCCAUGCCGUAAACGUUGGGCACUAGGUGUGGGGGACAUUCCACGUUUUCCGCGCCGUAGCUAACGCAUUAAGUGCCCCGCCUGGGGAGUACGGCCGCAAGGCUAAAACUCAAAGGAAUUGACGGGGGCCCGCACAAGCGGCGGAGCAUGCGGAUUAAUUCGAUGCAACGCGAAGAACCUUACCAAGGCUUGACAUGAACCGGUAAUACCUGGAAACAGGUGCCCCGCUUGCGGUCGGUUUACAGGUGGUGCAUGGUUGUCGUCAGCUCGUGUCGUGAGAUGUUGGGUUAAGUCCCGCAACGAGCGCAACCCUCGUUCUAUGUUGCCAGCGCGUUAUGGCGGGGACUCAUAGGAGACUGCCGGGGUCAACUCGGAGGAAGGUGGGGACGACGUCAAAUCAUCAUGCCCCUUAUGUCUUGGGCUUCACGCAUGCUACAAUGGCCGGUACAAAGGGUUGCGAUACUGUGAGGUGGAGCUAAUCCCAAAAAGCCGGUCUCAGUUCGGAUUGGGGUCUGCAACUCGACCCCAUGAAGUCGGAGUCGCUAGUAAUCGCAGAUCAGCAACGCUGCGGUGAAAUACGGUUCCCGGGGCCUUGUACACACCGCCCGUCAAGUCACGAAAGUUGGGUGACACCCGAAGCCCGGUGGCCUAACCCUUGUGGGGGGAGCGUCGAACGUGGGACCGGCGAUUGGACUAGUCGUACAAGGUUAGCCCA